Molecule: non-coding RNA, 3026 nt
Organism: Physcomitrium patens
Lineage: Eukaryota; Viridiplantae; Streptophyta; Bryopsida; Funariales; Funariaceae
Source: RefSeq, a predicted model, not a curated record
AAUGGAGGCGUUUGAAAACGAGGGCUUGUGCCGAGUGGGGUCCGGGACACAGCCUCGUAUCUCCGCAGCGGAGGAGGAUUGCUGAGUUGCCGCGAUUGCAAUUAACUCAAGACCGACUUCAGUGAUUACGCACAUUACAACUUAUGAUUUGUGAGAAGAAAGAAGAGUUGGUGAUGCAUCAUUCCUGUUCGUGACUCGUAGCCCUUUGUAUCAAAUCUGGAGGUGGAAGUUGUCGAAUGCAAUUGCUGCCGUCCUUUCUUCACAUCAGUGUCUACAAAGUUCUGAAAAAUGGCGUCUCUGGAUGAUACCAAGCUAUCUACUCCAGUGUCAACGAGACACUAGCGUUUGGUAUUAUACUUCAAGCAGAAAGCUGAACCAUUUUUCGGAACUGGCACAUGUUUUGGAAACGAUAUCGGUUGCAUCAGCACACGACCUAGGUUACGCUAAUGAUUUGAUAAGAUGCAUCUAAUCACGAGGAGAGACAUUGGAAGUUUGUAGAAAACAAAGCUGAAGAGUGAAGACGGCGGUUCAGGUUUUGGUAGUCCAUGUGAAACGUUGGUAGAAGACAACUUAGUCUUUGUGCUGCCUCUGGAGUGAAACUUCUGGCAAUAUUACCGCCACCUAAGGAAGUUCUGCUCUCAAUCCUUUCUUCUUCUUCCGAAUCGAUCUUAUUCAUAAGCACUUUUGCUGGGUUUACCUUUUCUUAUCGCAAAUCUUGCACAUUGUUCAUCGCUUAAUUGUCUGAAACGACGCGGUACUGGAUCAGCAUAACCACGGAGGUCUCCAUCUUAAUCCAAAUCUCGUGUAGGCAUGCUGUUUUAAGUCUUAUGAAAAACCUUUUUAACGUGGAGAUUGAAGUAGGGGCAAACAGAUUUCGAUUCGAAAAGUGCAAAUUACGGUGAAGGACAGCUGGAAGGAAGUGGAUCUGCGAGAAAGUGGGAAUUAGGCUAUUAUGCCUAUCAGGAUUGUUCAUCGAAGUUGCAUGAUCAAGGAGGUCCUGAUGUUGGCCAUUAUCCUUCAUUCCGAAAGUGAUCCUCCGCAUUAUUUCAUGAAUACUUGAUCACGAUGGCCUCGUGAAGUUCAGCGAGCUGGCUCAUUGGUCCCUAUCCUUCAUCAUGAUUUCAGAGCCAUAAGCAUGUCGAAGAGUGAUGUAUCAUAACAGUAUAUGUUGCAAUUCGGUUCGUCCACUCCGAUUUCAGAACAAUGGGGAGAUUCAGAUCACACGUCCAAUUCAAGAGAACAAACUCGACGCUGUUAGUCUGUACGGGAGCCUCCAUGGUCUUUCUUUUGAUCCCUCCAACACGCAUGCAUUGUUGCGUGCUGUCAAUUCACUCCAAUCUAUCAAAGAAUCUCAACGGUGUUCGGCGCAAACCAGCUGCCGAGAAUCACCCCAUCAAUCCUCUUCAAACUCUUCCUCAACCAGUUCCCCUGAGAAUACCACUGAUUCCAUUCCUACCUGCAAUGAGCCAGAAUCCUGUCCUAACCACAGAAGUGGCCAAGCCCCGGCUGUUGCUGACGCAGGACCCACGCAGACUCAAAGCUCUUCUGGCCCAACAUCUCAAGGCUCUUCUGGCUCAACAUCUCAAAGCUUAGAGAAUUCCUCUGAAAGGGGCAGCCGACAAAUUCCAAUUUCAAAGGGAUCCGAGCCUGCUCAAGUAAGCGUUGGUACUGCGAGCAAAGGCUCGGGAAAAGCUGGUGUGACAUGGAUUGACUGGGGAUGGCCAGGGACUCACGACAAUUGCCCUUUCAACCCACGACACUCUGUGGAUGAUAGCCUUAUCCGUCAUGAACGGGUAGGUUCUGUACAGGAACAGGCGCAUUUCUGUUGCUGCAUACCUCUUCGGAUUCGCAGCAUCUUCCUGAAUUUUCUCUUUUGGCUCGUGGAGUAGGAACACGUUUAUGAAACGAGUAUCGUGAUGGGAUUCCGACCGUUCACGGGCAAAUGAGUGGUUAAGUAUAUAUAUAUAUAUUUAUCUGAGGUAAUAGGAUAUCUUUCUCACAAGCUCGAGGUAUGGAUGCAUAUUCCAUGCGUUUCUUUUAUUUCUUUGUUGCGUUGGUUUUCAAUUUUCGAAUGCCUGAAGUUUCAAGCAUAGUUUCUUAGGAAUAGGUUGUAGUCCAUCAUCUCUUCUUCAUCUGAGCUCUCCAACGAUGCUCUUUUCUGAAUUAGACGUGGUGGAGUAGGUUGAAUCAUUGCGAAAAUUAUCCGAAUCCCUCAGGAGAAGCUACUGAUGUUGCAAGGUGGAAUGUGUUCUUGCAAUCGUUUGAUACUCAACUUCUUCAAGCGCCCGUUGGAUUAGCAGAACAUCUCAAAAGACCAGGACAUGAAACGACCUAUACACUGGCUAUAGUGAGAAGUUUAAUGGGAGUAUCUUCUAGUCCAAGUCUGUACUGAGUGAGUAGGUUUUUGAUGUGUACAGAUUUUCUGUGAAAGUUCGAACGGCAUAUUGAGAACUUGUUGCCCCUGCAUCAGGAAGUUGGUGAAAUGUUGCAAGUUACGUGUACGACAACUGAAAUCAGCUAUGAGUGUGUGUCAUUGACAUGAAUUCGGAUGUUUGGCAGGUCAAAUUUGCAUGAGAAUAUUUAAAACAAAUUGUAUCAACCAAUUACAGUGUUGACAGUAAAAACUAUAUCACCUACAACAAUUCGAUACUUUCAGCUUUCCUGCGGACAUAUCUGAUCUUAAGCAUUUGGAAAUCAAGGUAUAUCAUAUUUAACAACAUUCUUACAUGAAGCCUUGAAUAUGGAGAUGAAACAAAAUUCACAUGGAUACUUUGUACAAUUUGUUUGUAUGCAAAGGUUUAGGGUUUAGGGUUUAGGGUUUAUGCCAGCCCCACUUGUAAUUUGAUUGAUGCAUGUGGAGUAUGAGAGUAUGUUGAAGACAAUUAGAGGAAGGAAGAUGCAAUGCAAGACAAUACAAGGCUGAUUAUGUAGAAAGGAACUUUGAAAGGUUUUUAUGGAAUUUCAAUUUAUUAGCAUGUGUAAAUUUUGAUUAAAUUUUGAAAACUUACCAACACAGUUCACUCCAA